This 351-nucleotide ribosomal RNA is filed under the name Triticum aestivum (bread wheat). RNAcentral describes it as "partial small subunit ribosomal RNA". The record is from RNAcentral. Lineage: Eukaryota; Viridiplantae; Streptophyta; Magnoliopsida; Poales; Poaceae.
AUGGUCCGUUUGGAUGUCCGAAUUGAAUUGGGUUUUGUGGAAAUGACAACAUGGUUCAUUUCGAAAGGUGAAUUGGUAUUGCGUCGAAGUGUUUGGGUGCCGAAGAACACUGACACUGAAACUAAGCCUUCCCUAAAUUCAGAAAUAUGUUUGGCUUUCUUGGAAACGAAUGGACUCCAAAAGAAACAGGCAUCAUGCGAGAUUGGGAGAGAUUCACGUGUACCAGAGACAAAGAGGAACUUACGGUGGCAGUGGUCUACAGGAAACAUGCAAAUGGCGGUUUUCGCUUCUGCCAAUUCCAAUUCAUCGAUUUCUAGCCCAAAUAUUGACAUCCAAACGUGGUGUGAUUAG